This is a non-coding RNA of Monodelphis domestica (gray short-tailed opossum), 1366 nucleotides long. Lineage: Eukaryota; Metazoa; Chordata; Mammalia; Didelphimorphia; Didelphidae. The record is from RefSeq and is a predicted model, not a curated record.
GAGGUAGACAGAAAUAUCUCGGAAGCAGACUCAAACUGUUAUUUCUGACCCCAAGGCUCUUUUCCACUACUAGACUUGAGAGAAUGGAGUGAAAAAUAAAAAGAAAAGUGCAAUGAGUGACAGGGUGCAAACCCAAAAUUUUGGCUGGAGCGCAAGGGAAAGAAGGUUCCUGGCUUUCUCGGAAUUCUGGGAGAGAGACUUCUGGGGGUUCAGUGCACGAAUUUCUGGGGGUUAGCUUGGGAGCAGUGAGAGAGUUCACAGCUACUGACUUCGGUCUCCUCAGAUCCUGCUUGUGAUUUCCCUGUGUAAUUUGGUUCCUGUUGAUGGCGAGAGAUUCCUGCCAGCCAUUUCCUGAUAUGACUUCGUUCUAUCUGUGCUACUUAGAAGAGAGAAAAGCAGCUUGAUGGACCUGAACUGUUACUGGACUUCCACAGGUGCUAGCCGGUACCUUUGGUGACGGGGCCAUUUUGGUCACCAAUGUGAUCCAGCCCACGUGAUCGGAUACCUUUACCAACAACUGUUUUGGAGCAGCUAAAAGACGAGGGAAGCCAGGAUAGGGAAUGGGGGAGGGGACAUAGGACAAUCGGGAAGGUUGUGAGAUAGCAUCAAGCCAAAGAAGUGAGACUUGUGAAAGUCUCUUAGAUGUGGGUUAAGCAGAGUUUUAUUAGCCUGGGGAUCUCCUUGGCCCUCCACCCACUGCCAGUCCUUGUUAUUUACUUCAUUAAACCUUUUUUCAACAUUUAUACAUCAGUCAGAUUGUGUUUUUGAGAGCUUCCGGCCUGAGGGUAGCCAUCUUGCCUUCAGAGCCUGAGAGGAGCAGAGACAAAAGACUUGAUUCUACCAACCUGUGAAGUGACCAAAGCGGGUUAUUUCAGGCCAGCCUGCCUCUCUGGCAGUGGCACUAAAAAUACUAUGCUUUUAUUCAUCCACAAACUGGAAUAUUUCCCCAGGAGGUUCAUGCAUUAACCAUUUUAUGGAUUUGGAGGAGAUAAUGAUUGCAGUCAUGAUGAAGAAAGUUUAGCUCCACAGCUCCACUCAACAAUCACAAUGGCUCCUACAAAUGAGAGCAUCUCGCCCCUGGAUUCCCAUAGUUGAGAACUGGGGCAUCUCCAUGGAUGAGUCAUCUGAAUGAAAUCAGAGCACCAUGACUGGUUUUAUGGGUCCUGGAUAGGAGAGAGAGAAGCAAAGUCAUUGGACCUAAUCAAAUGAGUGGUAUAAUUUCUUGUAUAUCAACUGCAGGCAUGGUAAGUGUAAGAAAAAUCAGAAUGUUGGUUUCAAUUCCUGGUGGGUUUCUGAACCUGCCCUGAGACUUAGAAAGAACAUUGCCCUCCUUUACAUGCUUUGCUAUAGUCACAAAUUUUUUAUU